CUGAGAACGGAGUCGUGUGCUUUGGACUCAUCGACAUGAUUCGGCGGCGGCUGGAGGAGGAAGGAAGAGGAGGAAAAAAAAAGGGAGAGGGGGAAGGCGAAGCUUCGCUACUUUUUUUUUCUCCCUUUGCCAAAUAUUCUGGUGUUACCUUAACGCCGAUCUUGUUGGAUGUACACGUAACGGAGUGGACCGAGUCCGCCUUAAUUGGCUUGAGUGGAGGCUCGGGGGCUGCCUCGCGUUUGUUUUAGCCCGGCGCCAGGUUUUAGGCAGCCACCAGAGGCGGGGCAUAAGCGCUAAAGCAACAAGACAAUAGAAGCCUACAUCUUGCCCGAGAUAAUUAGCUUACAUGCUGAUGACAAGUUUUCUACUUGCAUACAGUAGAAGGGGAUGUUUGACACUACUUGGUCAUGGCUGAAAAUGGUACCCUUAGGCAUGGAGUGAAAUACACAUCUGGGCUAGGAGUUGGAGAAGCCAAAGGAGGAUCCUGGGGAAGAUGGAGCUGCUGCAAACAAACCUACAGUUGAACAACCCAAAGCUGCAGUAACUGGGGAUCACUAUCUCCAAGAACAUAAGAGAUCCUUAAAAGGAAAGAGUCACCUCUGAAAUGACUUCCAGUUCAAUACUCCAGGCACUGUAAACCUUCUGAAAUGGUUAUUUUUCAGGGUAAUCAGUUUAGGAAUCAUGACUCACCAAAACUACCUCAACCUAUUUUUCUGAUGCCUGAAAUAUCUUUUAACAAGAGACAUUUCUGUUUUACCGGACUAUGGCAUUUUAUGAAUAGCAGUAGUGAAGACAGAAGAUAUGGAGUCAGAAAUACUCCAUAUUGAAACAGUGCCAUACUAACUUAACGACCAUAGGCAAUUCACUUAAUCUUUUUACAGAUGGUGAAGCACAGUCUUUGUGGUGCACAGUUUUGUUCUCACAAAGCAUAACUGUGUAACCACCACUGGAAUCAAGACAGUACAGGUUUAUUAUCCCCCAAUUCCCUCAUGCUUAGUUAACCCUUCUUUUCCCUGCUUUCUAGCAACUACAGAUCUAUUUUCUGUCACUAUUGUUUGGCCUUUCCCAGAAUGUCAUAUAAACAAAAAUCAUAUAAUGUAUUCAUCAGAUUUUCAUAGCUGUGGCCCAAAUACCUGACAAGAACAAUUUAGGAUAACUUAGAAAAGGAAAAGUCUGAGCUCAUGGUGUCAGAAGUUUCAUUCUAAGACUGUCUGGUUCCAACACUGUAGAUCUAAGGUGAGGAGGGACAUCAUAGUGUAAAGGCAUAGCAGAGAGAAGCUGCUCUGCUCAUGGCAAAGUGGAAGUAGAGAGGAAAGGAGGAGCCAGUGGAGAAGACAUAAUUUCCAAGAGUCGGAUGCUCCAUUGACCUAACUUCCUUCAGUCAUGGUCCACCUGCCUACAGUUAUCACUCAGUUCAUUCAGUCUAGAAUGGACUGAUUAGCUUUCAUCUCAUGACCUAAUCAUUUCAUCUCUGAAUAUUUUUGCAUUAACAAGGAGCUUUGGGGGGACACCUCAUAUCCAUAUAGUGUAUAGCCUUUUGAUUGUGCCUAUUAACAGAAUGUAUUUGAGAUUUAUCAGUGUUGUUAUGUUUAUUCACAGUUCAUUCCUUUUAUUUCUGAUGACUGUUCUACUUUAUGGAGAUACCAUAGUACAUUCUCUAGCUGAAGAACAAUUUGUAUUGUUUCAAGAAGUAUUUGUGAGUGUGUGUGCUUAGGAAUAAAGCUACUAGAAACACACACAUGCAUUUGUGUGUGUGUGUGUGAAAACAUUGUAUUCAUGUCUCUGAGGUAAAUCUCUAGGCAUAUCUGAUUUCUGUCCCCUAUUUUUCCACUCACAAUCAUAUACUUAGGUACCUUUUGACCUCAUUGGGGGGGGAAAUCUAAUGUUCAGAACUACCAAUAACAGGAAGAAGAGAAAAAACGAUUUUUUUUGGAGAAUGAAAUCAUAGAUAGUAAAUUCUUAAGCACGUUCUCCACAUAUGCCGCGUGCUAGUUGGGUAUCUUUUGGAAUCAUUGUUACACGUUUGGCAUGGGUAGCACAAAGGUUGGUGUCUUCAAAAAAGCCAACAAGAUAGGCCUUGCUUGCCUCCUGCAAAGCACCAAUAGUUGCGCUCUGGAAGCGCAGAUCUGUUUUGAAAUCUUGGGCAAUUUCUCGCACCAGACGCUGAAAGGGGAGUUUGCCAACCAGCAGUUCGCUGGACUUCUGUCUGAUAGAGUGUAAUUUCAUGGAGUGCCACAGCACCGGGCCUGGAACGAUGCGGUUUCUUCACCCUUCCAGUAGAGGGUGCCUGCUUGCAAGUCGGCUUUUGUGGCCAGCUGUUACCUGGGUGCUUUACCACCAGUGGAUCUGGGGGGCAGUCUGCUUUGUAUGAGCCACAACAGAAAGACCUUCUUACUUGCCCGCCAUCGGCUGGAGCUCCGUGAGCUAGAGGCGGCGCUGGUGUUAGAGAGUGACAACUGCGUGGUGGCGACUGCGAACACAAUUCCGUUUGCUUAUUUUCUAAAUACAAAUACAGAAUGGACUGAAACCCCCAUAAUUUGCCGCAGUCUGGCUGGGCACAAAUCACCGAGCCACCGCAAAGCACUUGUAUGUUCAAACAGGAAACUUUAUUGCCUGAACUCCAACAGCACUCCACGCACACUUCCCAGGAACUCUCUCAAAGGCCACCCACGUGGCCCCUCUCCCACACACCACACCAACCGGAACUCCCUCCACCGGAACUUCACCAACCAACACAACUCCCCAGGAAAUCCCUGCAAGAACUCCAAAGUAGCGGGCGCCCCAGGAGGACAGUAGGAGUCUAUAUACAAUUGAAUCAAUCCAGCAUCAUCUUAAUGGCUCGCCUCUCAACCAUUACUUCUGGCAAAAUGCCAGGGGCCAUUCCGACUUGGCUCUCAACAAUAAUUCAUAUUUUGGGGAAUCAUGGGAGCCUGCCUACCCUGUAUUCAGCAGACCACAAAGUUUGGUUCAGGUUCAAAGAUGAGCAAGAACUUAGACUUUGUUCAAUGUUGGUUAUUUUUAUUCACUCCUAAAGCAGCCAACAAAAAGGGAAAAGUUUAGACAUCUAAGGAAGAUAUAGGUAGGGAAGUGUGGCUUCCCAUUGCAUCUCUCACAUCCCGAGGAGGAAUGCUAGAUGUCUAGUUCCUCUUGUUAGCCUUCCCAGAGAGAAGUGCUUCACCUGCCUGGAAAAGAGAAGACCUUUAUACCCCCAGUCAAACCAGCACACACUGUGCUCCUCCACAUUUAGCAAUGAUUCUGCACAUCAUUCAUGUGUAAUAGUUCUGGACCUUGAAGUUCUUUCAGUGACCACGCUGGGGAAAAUCCCUUAUCAACUCCCACUGUCCAGCAAGUCUGUUGGGGAAGUCCAGCCCUAGCUAUCCCAUUCCCUUGUCCCACCUGGUCAGUUGUCCCAACAAACUGUGAGCAUUUAAAGUGAUCCCAAAUCAGAAAUUCUUUUAUGGAUCUUCUAGAUAUACUCUUAACUAUUUAAUAUAUAUGAGAAUACUUUUAACCAAAAAAUAUUUAGUAGCCUGAAAUACCCUUGUUGUCAUACAUAGUUAUUUUGAUUUUUCCUAGUUCAGGCACUAAUUUGAAUAAGUCUCUUCUUUGUUGUUCAGUUACUUCUGAAGGACUGAAAUUAAUUGUACUAGUUUUUAAUAAAUAUUAUGUCUAAUUCUUAAGGAAAAUUAAAUAAUUUGGAAAGUAUACCGAAGCCAAUCUAUGAACAUGAGUUAUUUUAAACUUAAAGUUUUGAGUUUCCUGUACAUGGGGGUUUACUGCAGUUAUUUCCUGCAAAAUCCAGUUCUGUGGCAGAUUCUAAUGGCCUCAUCACAUUCGAGAUUCAGUAGAGUUAAGUGUUACUAGGUUUUCUUUUGCUAGUCGGAAUGAAUGGCAAUCUUUUUUUCAAAUCAUAUCCUUAAGUUCAAAAGCUCAUUUCAUUCACUGAUCUUUUUAAAUUUUUUUGUAACAGUAUUUAAAUUUAACAAAUUGCUGCAUGUGAUUUAUUUUCAAUUUAAUUACAGAGCCAAAAUGCUACAUAUAAUGAUGGAUGUAAGUACCAGUCAAUUCUUCACCCUGAUGGCUUGAGAAAGGCUGUAAAGUGUACCAUAGUCUUUCUAAAUAAUCUCCUAUGAGCCGUCUUUCCCUGCCAUUGAAUCAGUGCUGACAAAUAAAGUAUCAGAAUAGUAACUAAUAAGAGGUCAUGCUUUUGUGCCAAGCCCACCCCUUGCUUCUCUUUCAUAUUGAUGCUAAUGUGAUGCCAUUUAACACAGUUCAAGAAAAUUCAUAAAAUCAGUCUCUGCUUAGGAAGAACCUUUGAUCAAAGAUGGAUAAAUCACAGUGCCCCAGGAAUUGGUUUAAAAUAAGUAGCAGUGUAAUAUAUUUCUUUUUGUUAUGAGUUAAAGCUCUAAAAUGUAUUUUUAUAUUCUAGGGGGGAAAAACUCAGUUCUCUGAAACAAAAUGACAAGUAAAAAAGAAAACAAAACAAAAACCCUGCCCCACCCAUUGAAAACAUCAAUCUUAAUUCUAUAUUAUGCAACUAGUGGGUUCCAAAAUAAAGUUUCAGUUCAUACCUAUUUUCUGAGAGUUAGUCCACACAAGUGAAGUUCUUCCUUGAGUUAGAAGUCUUAUAUCUUUAAAAAAUUUUUAAAUUGAUUUUUAUCAUUGCAUAAUAAUUAUCAUAAUAGUAGGAUUAGUUGUUACAUAUGCCUACAUGCACACAACAUAAUUUCAUUAAUUUUAUUACUGAGUACCUCUCCUUUCUCUCUCCUCUUCCCUUCUCGUACUUUUCUUCCUUUAUUCUACUGGUCUCCCUUCUAUUUUAUUAGAUCCCAUGCCUUUUUCCCUUUUUUUGCUCUCUAGCUUCCACAUUAGAGGCCUUAUGUAUUCUUAAUAUUAUAUAUU
This is a long non-coding RNA of Marmota monax (woodchuck), 4902 nucleotides long. RefSeq lists it as uncharacterized. The record is from RefSeq and is a predicted model, not a curated record. Lineage: Eukaryota; Metazoa; Chordata; Mammalia; Rodentia; Sciuridae. The transcript is spliced from 3 exons.